UAAGCUGACGAGUGGCGAACGGGUGAGUAAUGUAUGGGAACGUGCCCAGUCGUGGGGGAUAACUGCUCGAAAGAGCAGCUAAUACCGCAUACGACCUGAGGGUGAAAGCGGGGGAUCGCAAGACCUCGCGCGAUUGGAGCGGCCGAUAUCAGAUUAGGUAGUUGGUGGGGUAAAGGCUCACCAAGCCAACGAUCUGUAGCUGGUCUGAGAGGACGACCAGCCACACUGGGACUGAGACACGGCCCAGACUCCUACGGGAGGCAGCAGUGGGGAAUUUUGGACAAUGGGCGCAAGCCUGAUCCAGCCAUGCCGCGUGCGGGAAGAAGGCCUUCGGGUUGUAAACCGCUUUUGUCAGGGAAGAAAAGGUUCUGGCUAAUACCUGGGACUCAUGACGGUACCUGAAGAAUAAGCACCGGCUAACUACGUGCCAGCAGCCGCGGUAAUACGUAGGGUGCAAGCGUUAAUCGGAAUUACUGGGCGUAAAGCGUGCGCAGGCGGUUAUGCAAGACAGAGGUGAAAUCCCCGGGCUCAACCUGGGAACUGCCUUUGUGACUGCAUAGCUAGAGUGCGGCAGAGGGGGAUGGAAUUCCGCGUGUAGCAGUGAAAUGCGUAGAUAUGCGGAGGACACCGAUGGCGAAGGCAAUCCCCUGGGCCUGCACUGACGCUCAUG
This 670-nucleotide ribosomal RNA is filed under the name uncultured beta proteobacterium. RNAcentral describes it as "bacterial SSU rRNA". It matches the Rfam family "Bacterial small subunit ribosomal RNA", at positions 84 to 751 of the family's 1533-position model. The record is from RNAcentral. Lineage: Bacteria; Pseudomonadati; Pseudomonadota; Betaproteobacteria.